RNAcentral lists this ribosomal RNA (468 nucleotides) under uncultured bacterium. RNAcentral's name for it is "partial 16S ribosomal RNA". It matches the Rfam family "Bacterial small subunit ribosomal RNA", at positions 28 to 507 of the family's 1533-position model. The record is from RNAcentral.
GACGAACGCUGGCGGCGUGCUUAACACAUGCAAGUCGAACGGAAAGGCCCUGCUUUUGUGGGGUGCUCGAGUGGCGAACGGGUGAGUAACACGUGAGUAACCUGCCCUUGACUUUGGGAUAACUUCAGGAAACUGGGGCUAAUACCGGCUAGGAGCUCCUGCUGCAUGGUGGGGGUUGGAAAGUUUCGGCGGUUGGGGAUGGACUCGCGGCUUAUCAGCUUGUUGGUGGGGUAGUGGCUUACCAAGGCUUUGACGGGUAGCCGGCCUGAGAGGGUGACCGGCCACAUUGGGACGGGGAUACGGCCCAGACUCCUACGGGAGGCAGCAGUGGGGUAUAGUGCACAAUGGGCGGAAGCCUGAUGCAGCAACGCCGCGUGCGGGAUGACGGCCUUCGGGUUGUAAACCGCUUUCGCCUGUGACGAAGCGUGAGUGACGGUAAUGGGUAAAGAAGCACCGGCUAACUACGUG